CCUACGGGGGGCAGCAGUGGGGAAUAUUGCGCAAUGGGCGAAAGCCUGACGCAGCGACGCCGCGUGUGGGAUGACGGCCUUCGGGUUGUAAACCACUGUCGGGAGGGACGAAUGCGCCGCAAGGCGAGUGACGGUACCUCCAAAGGAAGCACCGGCUAACUCCGUGCCAGCAGCCGCGGUAAUACGGAGGGUGCGAGCGUUGUCCGGAAUCACUGGGCGUAAAGGGCGCGUAGGCGGCCUGGUAAGUAGGGGGUGAAAUCCUGCGGCUUAACCGCAGGGCUGCCUUCUAAACUGUCAGGCUCGAGCACAGUAGAGGCAGGUGGAAUUCCCGGUGUAGCGGUGGAAUGCGUAGAGAUCGGGAAGAACAUCAGUGGCGAAGGCGGCCUGCUGGGCUGUUGCUGACGCUGAGGCGCGACAGCGUGGGGAGCAAACAGGAUUAGA
RNAcentral lists this ribosomal RNA (441 nucleotides) under uncultured Gemmatimonas sp. RNAcentral describes it as "bacterial SSU rRNA". It matches the Rfam family "Bacterial small subunit ribosomal RNA", at positions 338 to 782 of the family's 1533-position model. The record is from RNAcentral. Lineage: Bacteria; Pseudomonadati; Gemmatimonadota; Gemmatimonadia; Gemmatimonadales; Gemmatimonadaceae.